UACGUAGGACCCAAGCGUUAUCCGGAGUGACUGGGCGUAAAGAGUUGCGUAGGUGGUUAGUAAAGUGAAUAGUGAAACCUGGUGGCUCAACCAUACAGACUAUUAUUCAAACUCACUAACUCGAGAGUAGCAGAGGUAACUGGAAUUUCUUGUGUAGGAGUGAAAUCCGUAGAUAUAAGAAGGAACACCAAUGGCGUAGGCAGGUUACUGGGCUAUUUCUGACACUGAGGCACGAAAGCGUGGGGAGCGAACCGG
RNAcentral lists this ribosomal RNA (255 nucleotides) under uncultured bacterium. RNAcentral's name for it is "partial 16S ribosomal RNA". It matches the Rfam family "Bacterial small subunit ribosomal RNA", at positions 524 to 776 of the family's 1533-position model. The record is from RNAcentral.